Molecule: long non-coding RNA, 1359 nt
Organism: Fundulus heteroclitus (mummichog)
Lineage: Eukaryota; Metazoa; Chordata; Actinopteri; Cyprinodontiformes; Fundulidae
Exons: 3
Source: RefSeq, a predicted model, not a curated record
UGCAGAUAUCAAGGGCUUCUCAUUUUACCUCACUGUUGAUUAAUAUAACACUUCACAUACUAAAACAUAGUUUUCUUGUUUAACAGAAUUCUUUGUUUCUGAAUUUUUACAACAUUUUUUGAGUAAAAUGUUUAACCCUGGCUGAACACAAGUUGGGUCUUAUUAUCGAUAUGUCCAUAAAUUCUAAAAGACGUCAACCAGCUUCUUGGGAGUCGGGGUAGGGAAAAAAAAGCCUACUCUGUGCAACCAUCACAAACUGAAAACCUAACUGUUCUGGGACUUAGACUGGAACUGUGUGCUUCGGUCAGAAGAGUCUAAGCUUUAGCCUUUUGGUAACAAGCACUGCAGCAGGGUUUGGGGUCAAACAAUGCAUUAAAGGGAUUUACUUUCAUAAAGAUAAAGUAUCUUGUUGUAUAUGUUGUUUUAACCAUUUUCUUUUUAUUCUUUUAGGGUUUUUAAAUGGGAACGUUCUAUAAGGGCAUUUCUACCACAAAAUCCAAGAAUGGAACCCUUCCCAUGAAUACUGCCUCCUCUACAACCCAAUUGAUGGAAUUCGAAACUGACACAGAUUCAACAAAUAGGAUCUUCUCACCAACACGGCAAUCAAAGGCGGGGCUUACCGGUCGAUGGUUUCUUCCGCGCAACUCCAAGACAGGCUCAAGAUAAAACAACUCCGGUUAUUUUUCUGCUUGACGCAUGGCGUGACAAGAUGAUAGCAGACCGGAUGUCAACGCUGUUCUGCAACUGUUGCGACUGGAGAGAUGUUUUGGGUGAUCAAGAAAGUGGUAGCUUUUUAGACCCGCCCUCCUCACAACACCCGAUACCGCCCCCUUCAACGUUAACCACACCCCUUCUCAGUAUAAAAAAAAACAACCGGACAGACCGAUCGGAACAUCCAUGCAACUUCACUGACCAUACUUUUAGCAUCUGAAACCAUGAACAACUACGCGGUUGAAAGAACUACAGCUUCAACAUCACCGCAGCAUGGCUCUCCGGACAGCGAUAAAUUCUUUCCGGGACCGUACCACCCUCCUUUCCCCUCGCCAACCCCUGAAUCCUCUUCCGAACUCGACAGCGACAGCGAGAGUCUCCUCACAUCGCUGCAGAGGCGUAUCGACGACUGGGCUAAUGCCCCCGGAGGCGUGCAUGUACGACCCGAGUACUUUGUUUUACGGGAUGAGAAUUCCACGCUUCCAACCACACUUCCAGCCAGGCUUCCAGCCAUGCCGUCUCUGUCAGAGACCCAGGAGGAAGAUUCACAAGUGCUGAAUCUUCCACCCUCCCCGGACUGUUCUCAGUCUGAGUACUCACAGCUCCAGGACUCAGAACUUCCCUCCGGCCAAAGAGAACCAGACUUCC